UACGGAGGGGGCGAGCGUUAUUCGGAAUUAUUGGGCGUAAAGAGUUCGUAGGCGGGAUGCUCAGUCCGGCGUGAAAGCCCUCGGCUCAACCGGGGAAAGUCGUUGGAUACUGGCAUUCUCGAGCAGGGCAGAGGUUGGCGGAAUUCCAGGUGUAGCGGUGGAAUGCUUAGAUAUCUGGAAGAACACCAGUGGCGAAGGCG
Molecule: ribosomal RNA, 200 nt
Filed under: uncultured bacterium
Lineage: Bacteria
Description: partial 16S ribosomal RNA
Rfam family: Bacterial small subunit ribosomal RNA
Source: RNAcentral